AAAAACAAAUACGUUGUACCGUAGACAGUAGGUGCUUAAAGGCUUAAUAAUUCCUACCGAGGUGUCUGAAUAAAGAUGGUAUUGUGCUACAAUAUCAAUCUAACCCAUUCAAACAAAACCUUCAUGUCUACACGGCAUGGAGGUUUUUUAGGUAUAGG
RNAcentral lists this small RNA (158 nucleotides) under Paraliobacillus sp. PM-2. RNAcentral's name for it is "L10_leader". It matches the Rfam family "Ribosomal protein L10 leader". Rfam says of the family: This family is a putative r-protein leader autoregulatory structure found in B. subtilis and other low-GC Gram-positive bacteria. It is located in the 5' untranslated regions of mRNAs encoding ribosomal proteins L10 and L12 (rplJ-rplL). A Rho-independent transcription terminator structure that is probably involved in regulation is included at the 3' end. The record is from RNAcentral. Lineage: Bacteria; Bacillati; Bacillota; Bacilli; Caryophanales; Bacillaceae.